GAUGAACGCUGGCGGCGUGCCUAAUACAUGCAAGUCGAGCGAACAGAUGAGGAGCUUGCUCCUCUGACGUUAGCGGCGGACGGGUGAGUAACACGUGGAUAACCUACCUAUAAGACUGGGAUAACUUCGGGAAACCGGAGCUAAUACCGGAUAAUAUAUUGAACCGCAUGGUUCAAUAGUGAAAGACGGUUUUGCUGUCACUUAUAGAUGGAUCCGCGCCGCAUUAGCUAGUUGGUAAGGUAACGGCUUACCAAGGCAACGAUGCGUAGCCGACCUGAGAGGGUGAUCGGCCACACUGGAACUGAGACACGGUCCAGACUCCUACGGGAGGCAGAAGUAGGGAAUCUUCCGCAAUGGGCGAAAGCCUGACGGAGCAACGCCGCGUGAGUGAUGAAGGUCUUCGGAUCGUAAAACUCUGUUAUUAGGGAAGAACAAAUGUGUAAGUAACUAUGCACGUCUUGACGGUACCUAAUCAGAAAGCCACGGCUAACUACGU
RNAcentral lists this ribosomal RNA (496 nucleotides) under uncultured bacterium. Its description in RNAcentral is "partial 16S ribosomal RNA". It matches the Rfam family "Bacterial small subunit ribosomal RNA", at positions 28 to 506 of the family's 1533-position model. The record is from RNAcentral.